Zea mays is the source of this 1379-nucleotide long non-coding RNA. RefSeq lists it as uncharacterized. NCBI's taxonomy places the organism in Eukaryota, Viridiplantae, Streptophyta, Magnoliopsida, Poales, Poaceae. The record is from RefSeq and is a predicted model, not a curated record. The transcript has 3 exons.
AAAGUACACCUGAACUUCCUCUGUCAGUCAGUAAGUUCAGUUAACUGACAGGAGUGUUGAGUGAUGGGGGCAACUUUGGAUCACCCCAACCCUUGUUCUAUAUGUUUUCAACCAUGAGUUGCUAUACAAAAAAAGGGAAAAUCUAGGCAUGGAGAAUCACUUUGGUUAAAGGGGAGAGGUCUGUUAUUAAGUGAAAUUGGGUGAUCCAGGCAGCCAAAUAGGGAGGAAUGCAAGGAGGCAACAUUGGCUAAUUCUGUAAAAUUCAGAGAACGGAACUUGGUUUCCAGUGAGCUAUAGCCAACUUCAGAGUCGCAUAUCUUGUGGUCUACACAUUUUGGGUCUUGGACUUUCACAGUAAACCUAAAGAGCGAUGAUUGGGCAACAAGUUUGUUUAGAAAGGCUUGAGCUACCCUUAUUUGGAAUAGUGAGAAAAGUGGGGCUAAACAAAGGGUUUCAAUCGGACUUAAGCACUUCAGUGCACACCAGAAAAAUCUAAAGAAAAUAUCGCCGCAACUAUAAAAUCUAGGGAGAGAUGAGAGAUAAGUGAGAACCCUGGGGGGCAUAACUUGGACGGAUUCAAUGUUGUGAUGUGGUGUCAAGCUUGCCUGAUGGCUAACCCCCAGUACUGUCCAUUCGGUGUCUGUCUGUCCACUCUCGUGUCCUCAAGCCAGGUCCAGUGAACCUGCCCCAGCGCCAUCCCUUAUUUAAGUGCUUGUCCAGGGAGCCCUGUUGUCUCGAGCUUUAGCUGGAUCCUUGGGCAUCUCUGUGGUGGUGUGUGCAAGCCUGAGUUCAUCUCCUUAGCCUCUGUGUCGGCUUUGUUCAGUUCAUCAAGUGCCAUUCCAUUGUCUGGUACUCUAGUGCCACAGCAACCAUCCUUCCACCUCGCCGUGGUCAGACUAUCUCAACAAGUUUGUUGCCCAGAACAGAGUUGUGCCACCGUAGACCAGAGCCGUGAGCAGCCCCUGUGUUGACCGAACAACUCACACUUUCUCUUGUCGAUUCCUUGUGAGCACCAAAGUUUAGAACUCCUACCAGAAGGAGUGAAGAUUCAAGCUGAAGAGGUGACUGAAGAAGAGUUUGCUCCAGUGCCUAUUCAUCAAGUGGAUGGAGCUAUCUAACUGGUUAUUGGGUAGAAAGGUCUUGAACCUCUUCACUGCAACAAAGGCAAGCCUCAGUGCAUGCAACCCCUUCCUUGUGUUUUUAAAUUAUUUUACAUACUUUAAGUCUAGUGAAUGUGCAUUAGGUUUAUAGGAGUUGCUUGGAAACCCAUUGAUGCAUUGCCUACCUUGAUAUCCAUAUCUUUGUAGAUACUUCUGACGAAGUAUCAAAAUAUGAUUUACAAAAAUGCUUAUCCCUGCUUAGAUCUUGUGGAUAGAGGU